GCCAGGGGCUGGCCAAUGACCAGGCCGCCCGGGAUGAGCUAAUAAUGGAAGCAAUUUGUAACUUUCAGUAGCUCUCUAGGCCUGGGUACCGGAGGGAGGGAGGCGGGCAGAGGAGGGGAGAUGGGCACCCCCAGUCUUUCCAUCCUCCUCAUUCGUCUAGGGGCACCCGAAUCCCCUAUUCCUUAUUUCCCCUAUCACUCAGGCACUGGCAGGGUCCUUUGCCCACUCCUGUUGGCCGCUGCGGCUCCAAAGCGAGAUGUGCCUGAGACAGGUUUGACCAGGCAACUGAAAAGACAUCCCUAAGAGAAGACAAAGCAAAGGUAUGAAAGGAACACACGUCCCUGACUGACUAGGAGGAACAGAGCUGCCUGCUAUCUGGAACAACUUCCUCCCAGACUAACUGUGAGUCAAACAGAAUCUGCCAACCUCUGGGCGGUGGGAGCAUCUCGGAAGCAAGGCAAGGCAAGGAGAUCCCUUGUUCCUGACCUCCGGCAAUCCAUUUUAUUUGACCCGAGUCUCAUAAAGG
Molecule: long non-coding RNA, 526 nt
Filed under: Homo sapiens (human)
Lineage: Eukaryota; Metazoa; Chordata; Mammalia; Primates; Hominidae
Description: HSALNT0352264
Source: RNAcentral